GCCAGGUGUGGCAGCUCACACCUGUAAUCCCAGAUCUGGGAGGCCGAGGCGGGCGGAUCACCUGAGGUCGGGAGUUUGAGACCAGCCUGACCAACAUGGUGAAACCCCGUCUCUA
Molecule: unclassified non-coding RNA, 115 nt
Organism: Macaca fascicularis (crab-eating macaque)
Lineage: Eukaryota; Metazoa; Chordata; Mammalia; Primates; Cercopithecidae
Rfam family: Metazoan signal recognition particle RNA
About the family: The signal recognition particle (SRP) is a universally conserved ribonucleoprotein. It is involved in the co-translational targeting of proteins to membranes.
Source: Ensembl